GCACUGCUGAGGAGUCCCAUAAUAGGACGAAACGACCUUCCAAUGC
Molecule: non-coding RNA, 46 nt
Organism: Schistosoma mansoni
Lineage: Eukaryota; Metazoa; Platyhelminthes; Trematoda; Strigeidida; Schistosomatidae
Source: Rfam